AAUAGGGGUAAAUAGGGGAUCAAUCUGAACUUCACACAGCAUCCAAGCUUCUUUCUCAACACGCAUUGCUUUCCCUUCUUAAUCCAACUAUUACUGUGCAGUUAUUUGUAAGGACAUUAAUUGGUAUCUCUUAAGGGCAAAUAGAACAAUUCCUGGUUCAGAUCCUGGGGAUUGAAAACAUUCAGUAGAGUCCCUAAAUAAUCCAGUGAUGUAAUGUAUGAAUCUUCUACAGAAAUAUUCGCUUUGCUGGAACCGCU
Pelobates cultripes (western spadefoot toad) is the source of this 257-nucleotide non-coding RNA. The record is from the annotation of a GenBank genome assembly. NCBI's taxonomy places the organism in Eukaryota, Metazoa, Chordata, Amphibia, Anura, Pelobatidae.